RNAcentral lists this ribosomal RNA (254 nucleotides) under uncultured bacterium. Its description in RNAcentral is "partial 16S ribosomal RNA". It matches the Rfam family "Bacterial small subunit ribosomal RNA", at positions 524 to 776 of the family's 1533-position model. The record is from RNAcentral.
UACAGAGGUCUCAAGCGUUGUUCGGAUUCAUUGGGCGUAAAGGGUGCGUAGGCGGCGCGGUAAGUCGGGUGUGAAAUCUCGGAGCUUAACUCCGAAACUGCAUUCGAUACUGCCGUGCUUGAGGACUGGAGAGGAGACUGGAAUUUACGGUGUAAGCGGUGAAAUGCGUAGAUAUCGUAAGGAAGACCAGUGGCGAAGGCGGGUCUCUGGACAGUUCCUGACGCUGAGGCACGAAGGUCAGGGGAGCAAACGGG